GCGGAUGUGGCUCAGUGGUAGAGCCCUUGCCUAGAAUGUGUGAGGUACUAGGUUCGAUCCUUAGCACCACA
Molecule: transfer RNA, 71 nt
Filed under: Marmota monax (woodchuck)
Lineage: Eukaryota; Metazoa; Chordata; Mammalia; Rodentia; Sciuridae
Rfam family: tRNA
About the family: Transfer RNA (tRNA) molecules are approximately 80 nucleotides in length.
Source: Rfam by way of RNAcentral